Molecule: long non-coding RNA, 877 nt
Filed under: Fukomys damarensis (Damara mole-rat)
Lineage: Eukaryota; Metazoa; Chordata; Mammalia; Rodentia; Bathyergidae
Description: lncRNA (ENSFDAG00000025688.1)
Source: RNAcentral
UGGCGCUCUCAGAUUGGCUACUUGCAGACCUCCCGCCAAAAAACAACUGCGGAGGAUGUUUACGGUUCUGCCAACAAUUACUAGUUGGGUUCUAAGGAAAAAUCCGAACACGACUGAGGCCAAGAACUCUGAACCAUGACUUUGCAGGCGUAUAACGUAUGACUCCAUGCAAUGCGAGGCGAUGGAAAGAGACCAGGCAGUCAGAGGCCUCCUCGAGCCCUGGGGAUUCCGUGUCUGGUGGUGCUGGCUGUGCACCUGCCUGCACGUGGAGUUUCAAGUUAUUUGUUACAUUGUCCUGGCAACUGUGGAUACUUCCUGCCCAUCUACAGGGAUGUUCUAACCAAUGUUCUCUACCUUGGAGAGUUAAUACCAUUGGAGGCAUUCAUCAAACACACAGAAGCAAAGAGAAACAUGGGACCUGACCACCAAAAACUUGCUGUGAAAUGAGCGACAGUUGUAAGGGAAAAGUGCAAAUAAACUUUGUUAUCCAGACUCAAGAACGUGAGAGUCAUAUACAUUUUUGGGUAACACUUUGCUAAUGAAAUUCUUCCUGUUUGCUACCUGAUAUGUAGAAACCAAAUAGAUUAACAUAAUUGAUUCCUCUGUAGGCAAAUUUACGAUCUGAUCUCUUGCUGCAGCUCAAGAUCCAAACAGAUCAAGAUGGUGCCGUUGCAAGCAACAGGAAGGCAAAUGAGUGGGGUGUUGGGGGAAGAAAUGGCCAGCCUAGCAGACAGGAAGCCUAGGCCUCCGGAUCUCACAGCCCCAACACUCAGGCUGGGUGGAAAGGAAGACUUUCCGGCUAGUGGGCAGCCGCCAGUGUCCAGUCUCUCCAGAGACCUCUGCGUCUGCUGGAGGGCUGCUUCUCUGAUAUUCCCUG